This 481-nucleotide long non-coding RNA is filed under the name Coffea arabica (coffee). RNAcentral describes it as "long non-coding RNA (CARA_LNC005403)". Lineage: Eukaryota; Viridiplantae; Streptophyta; Magnoliopsida; Gentianales; Rubiaceae. The record is from RNAcentral.
AUUCACAUGCACAACAGUGAAGAAUUGCCGCCUUUUCAUACUGUUUUUGCUUUGCUUUUAGUUGAGUUUUUCUUUGCGUCUCUGUAUCAUGUUAAUUUUGGUUUUGAUGAAGAAAUAGAGGGUCCAAUGUUGAGGUUGAACACUUGGGUUUAAGGGCCAGUCAAGUCAUGUUUUGAUUGCAGAACUUGUUUGUAUAAAAUUAUCCUUUUGUUUGCAUGUUUUUUUUUUUUCUUUUUUCUCCAGUAAUCUUGGUUUGUUCGGAUUUUAAAAUUGUAUGUUAUGUGGCUUAGUUAAUUCUUCGGAUGUUUGGUUGAGAGAGCUCGAUCAAAUUUGGUGAAGUUGAAAUGCAUAAAUCUAAGUUCAGAAAUGACAAUGCAGCCAGCAUUCAUUUUAUGUUUGCAGAAUCAAGUUUCUCACGUAGCUGCAUGAUCAUUGCAUGAAAUAAUUCUGAAAAUCACACUUUGAUCCCCCAAGUUUCCCC